Molecule: small nuclear RNA, 96 nt
Filed under: Canis lupus familiaris (dog)
Lineage: Eukaryota; Metazoa; Chordata; Mammalia; Carnivora; Canidae
Also listed under: 1 other name
Source: RNAcentral
UGCUCACUUCAGCAGCAGAAUGCUAAAAUUGGAACGACACAGAGAAGAUGAGCAGGGCCCCUACACCGAAUAGGAUGGGAAAUGGAGACUUUCCUA